GAUGAAGAGCGUAGCGAAAUGCGAUACGUAAUGUGAAUUGCAGAAUUCAGUGAAUCAUCGAGUCUUUGAACGCACAUUGCGCCCCCUGGUAUUCCGGGGGGCAUACCUGUCCGAGCGUCAUUGCUGCCCUCAAGCACGGCUUGUGUGUUGGGCCUCCGUCCUCCUCCCGGGGGACGGGCCCGAAAGGCAGCGGCGGCACCGCGUCCGGUCCUCGAGCGUAUGGGGCUUCGUCACCCGCUCUUGUAGGCCCGGCCGGCGCUUGCCGACACAUCAAUCUUUUUUCCAGGUUGACCUCGGAUCAGGUAGGGAUACCCGCUGAACUUAAGCAUAUCAAUAAGCGGAGGA
This 345-nucleotide unclassified non-coding RNA is filed under the name soil metagenome. Its description in RNAcentral is "partial contains 5.8S ribosomal RNA, internal transcribed spacer 2, and large subunit ribosomal RNA". The stretch from base 1 to 120 matches the Rfam family "5.8S ribosomal RNA", at positions 35 to 154 of the family's 154-position model. The record is from RNAcentral.